Molecule: ribosomal RNA, 871 nt
Filed under: Escherichia coli
Lineage: Bacteria; Pseudomonadati; Pseudomonadota; Gammaproteobacteria; Enterobacterales; Enterobacteriaceae
Description: partial 23S ribosomal RNA
Rfam family: Bacterial large subunit ribosomal RNA
Source: RNAcentral
GGGUUGUGAGGUUAAGCGACUAAGCGUACACGGUGGAUGCCCUGGCAGUCAGAGGCGAUGAAGGACGUGCUAAUCUGCGAUAAGCGUCGGUAAGGUGAUAUGAACCGUUAUAACCGGCGAUUUCCGAAUGGGGAAACCCAGUGUGUUUCGACACACUAUCAUUAACUGAAUCCAUAGGUUAAUGAGGCGAACCGGGGGAACUGAAACAUCUAAGUACCCCGAGGAAAAGAAAUCAACCGAGAUUCCCCCAGUAGCGGCGAGCGAACGGGGAGCAGCCCAGAGCCUGAAUCAGUGUGUGUGUUAGUGGAAGCGUCUGGAAAGGCGCGCGAUACAGGGUGACAGCCCCGUACACAAAAAUGCACAUACUGUGAGCUCGAUGAGUAGGGCGGGACACGUGGUAUCCUGUCUGAAUAUGGGGGGACCAUCCUCCAAGGCUAAAUACUCCUGACUGACCGAUAGUGAACCAGUACCGUGAGGGAAAGGCGAAAAGAACCCCGGCGAGGGGAGUGAAAAAGAACCUGAAACCGUGUACGUACAAGCAGUGGGAGCACGCUUCGGCGUGUGACUGCGUACCUUUUGUAUAAUGGGUCAGCGACUUAUAUUCUGUAGCAAGGUUAACCGAAUAGGGGAGCCGAAGGGAAACCGAGUCUUAACUGGGCGUUAAGUUGCAGGGUAUAGACCCGAAACCCGGUGAUCUAGCCAUGGGCAGGUUGAAGGUUGGGUAACACUAACUGGAGGACCGAACCGACUAAUGUUGAAAAAUUAGCGGAUGACUUGUGGCUGGGGGUGAAAGGCCAAUCAAACCGGGAGAUAGCUGGUUCUCCCCGAAAGCUAUUUAGGUAGCGCCUCGUGAAUUCAUCUCCGGGGGUAG